AACGAACGCUGGCGGCAUGCCUAACACAUGCAAGUCGAACGAGACCUUCGGGUCUAGUGGCGCACGGGUGCGUAACGCGUGGGAACCUGCACUUAGGUUCGGAAUAACUCCCCGAAAGGGGUGCUAAUACCGGAUAAUGUCUUCGGACCCAAGAUUUAUCGCCCUUGGAUGGGCCCGCGUUGGAUUAGCUAGUUGGUAGGGUAAAAGCCUACCAAGGCGACGAUCCAUAGCGGGUCUGAGAGGAUGAUCCGCCACACUGGGACGGGGACACGGCCCAGACUCCUACGGGAGGCAGCAGUGGGGAAUAUUGGACAAUGGGCGAAAGCCUGAUCCAGCAAUGCCGCGUGAGUGAUGAAGGCCUUAGGGUUGUAAAGCUCUUUUACCCGGGAUGAUAAUGACAGUACCGGGAGAAUAAGCUCCGGCUAACUCCGUG
Molecule: ribosomal RNA, 433 nt
Filed under: uncultured bacterium
Lineage: Bacteria
Description: partial 16S ribosomal RNA
Rfam family: Bacterial small subunit ribosomal RNA
Source: RNAcentral